Molecule: long non-coding RNA, 827 nt
Filed under: Homo sapiens (human)
Lineage: Eukaryota; Metazoa; Chordata; Mammalia; Primates; Hominidae
Description: HSALNT0129502
Source: RNAcentral
CCUGGAUCUACCACGUGUGUUGUGUAAAUAAAUUCAUGAUCUCAGCCCAGUGGCGUUCUUGGCUCAAAGCAAGUCCUAAUUAACUGUCUACUGUGUGGCACUUCCUGCAUAGCAGAGUAGCCUUACCCUUGGUUAACAGGAACCUCAUAAGAACUGAUGUUUUCUGACAUAUCAAGGGGGUCUUGCACCUGGACUUGUGGAGCUGUGUUAAUCAGAAAGAUAACUCUCGUUGUUCUCUGUCUUGACGUCUCUGGGCUUUCAAAUUGUGGCUUAUUCUUGUUUGUUUUUGAGGCAGAGUCUCACUCUAUCCCCAAGGCUGGAGUGCAGUGGCACAAUCUCGGCUCACUGCAACCUCUGCCUUCCGGGUACAAGUGAUUCUUGUGCUUCAGCCUCCCGAGUAGCUGGGAUUACAGGUGCGUGCUACCACGCCCGGCUAAUUUUUUUGAUUUUUAGUAGAGACAGGGUUUUGCCAUGUUGGCCAGGCUGGUCUCGAACUCCUGGCCUCAAGUGAUCUGCCCUCCUUGGCCUCCCAAAGUGCUGGGAUUACAGGCAUGAGCCACUGUACCCAGACUUGUUAGUUUUCAAAAUUCACUUAACUUCCUUUAAGCAUAAAAGGGAAUUUAUUGGAAGAGUCCUGGAGUAUCACACAAAACCCAAGGCCAAGAACUACAGCCAGAGCUACGUGAAGGCCUGGAACCACGAAACACCUUAUUUCUCAAGAGAGGGAGAGCCACGGUUGUGAAAUCACCAAAACUGAUGGGAAGCUCCGCUGGUGGCGGCCCUCUCAAACAGCAGAUGCAUGACUCCCGAUUCUCAGCCAGGAUCUG